AAAGGAGUCUCUUGGGUCCUUCCUUGUCUGAUUUAGUCCCAGAAUUUCAGAGGGAGCAGAGACGUUUCCAUAGUGACUGGAAGAAGCUGCUCAGGGGAGCAACCUCAGCCACUCGGGUUGCGGAUUAUGAACGAUAAAACCAGAGCAGUUCCAGGGCAUCUUUGCUCUGAGGUGGGGCUCCAACCUGUGCCUGACCCACAGCCGCAGGAACAGGAAGCUGCCCAUUUCCGUGGCUCCAAAUAAACACAGCCUGUCAGGCCAUCUGGUGGCCUGGAUUCUGGAAGAGAUGGGAGCAGAGAUGAGAAUGAGACAAGUUGCCCUGGAGAAGAGCAGCUGGCAGGCUCUUCUCACUGGCUGCUGCCAGGAACCAUUCGAGUUCCAUGGAGGCUAAACUGAGUGAGUCUUGGUGAUGACAGGCCUCCCAGAUGACAAGCUCACAGUGGUGUGUACUGCGUCCCCACACUGUUGGAGGAGACAGGUUCCUGGGAAUGGAUGGGAGUUGUGAGCAUUACGCACAUGGAACUCCCAAUCAUCCUGGAAAUUGUGUUCUCUGGUGAAACCCAGCUUGAUCACUGACCAUCACCAGCUUCCCUGGCUAUGGAGUCAGCCAUGAAGAAGGCAGAAGUGGCACGUUGAUGGCUAUUAUGGAAGUCAGGGCUAAGCACCAGGUCGAACAGAACCUCAAAGAAGUUGUGUGUGGUUGAUGUGGCAAGGUCAACACCCUCUGACUGGAUGGAGAGAGGUCAUGUGUUCACCUGGCUCCAGAUCUCCGUGCUUUGAAUGUUACCAAUAAAACUGGGUUGAUCCAAACUGA
Long non-coding RNA from Meriones unguiculatus (Mongolian gerbil), 814 nucleotides. RefSeq lists it as uncharacterized. The transcript is spliced from 3 exons. The record is from RefSeq and is a predicted model, not a curated record. Lineage: Eukaryota; Metazoa; Chordata; Mammalia; Rodentia; Muridae.